This is a non-coding RNA of Phoenix dactylifera (date palm), 1235 nucleotides long. Lineage: Eukaryota; Viridiplantae; Streptophyta; Magnoliopsida; Arecales; Arecaceae. The record is from RefSeq and is a predicted model, not a curated record.
AACAGCUGCAUGAUUAUGCUUGCAACUCAUUCUUUGCAUGCUGAUUGAGUUUUUGAGUGCUUAAUUUCUUCCAUGUGUGUAAUGAAACCUUGAAUUUCAUAUCUUUAGUUUGUUGGCUUCAUAAAUUGAUGUCAUUAGUUUCAUUUCUAUUAUGAGGAAGGUUAUGCUGAUAGGGGUGUCUAUGGGUUAGGUCAGACCAAACCGAGCCAUGGCUAGGUCGGCCAGAUUUUUAUUCCUCAAAACCAAGGUCAGCUUGACUGAAGGUACCAGGCAUGGGCACGGGAGCUUGCCAAUUUUGUUUCUGGCCAUGCUCAAAACAGGCAUUAUUCAAUUUUUAUCAUAAAACAUUGCGGCACAAACUUUCGACUUUCUAGGCCCAAUUGGGCUUUAGGGCCCAAAAGUUGACUUUGGGCCUAGUUAUUCUGGGUCAGAUCUUUGAGCUACUUGGACUGUCCCAUUAAAAGCCUUACAUGACAAAGAAGGCUCUUCGAAAUGCAGUUUGAUUUUAUCCUGUAUUAGAGUUUCUAUAGAAAACCUAACUCUGAACAUAAAUUCCAUUUUUUUCAAUUUUUAUUUUUAAUUGUUUUGCUAUAGUUUAGGACAGUGAGAUGAACUGCUUGUUAUUGGUUCAUUUUUGCAUGUUGGAGCAGGCAGUGUUGUCGAAAGUGCUCCAUCCAUUUGUCUAAGUGAUUGGGAGAGGCAAGGAAACGUCUGAGCACCUUAACAAUCCCUAAGCGAGGCUGGUUUACCAAGGGCACCUAGGCAAGCACCUAGGGCAAAGCGAGAGGCAUUUAGGUUUCGUGGAGCAUGCUUACCCAAAUCAUCUAAUGUGUCCAUCAUUUCACACCCUCGGCAUUUCAUCGCUGCCAGAUACUCCACAGCCGAGCCAGGUCCAUCUAAAAUAUUAAUGAGUUUGUUAUUAAGCCUUGCUAUUAGAACCGUCUAACCAUUCCGAUUUCAAAAUUGGGCAUAUUUCAAUUAUCAUCAAUAGAAUCAGCAUUACAAGUUUUGACCUAUCAUGCUCAUAUUUGCCCGACUGCUGGAACGGAGAAGUGUUCUUUUUUUUUUUUUUUUUUGUAGGUUUAAGUAGUAUGCUGUUGCUCUACUCUCCAUUAACUAAUAGCUGCAAUUCUGCUACUGGUAAUUCAUCUCACUCUCUUAGAUCCCAAUGUUGUGUAAGCUUGAAACUGGCCAUCUGAUCUCAUUGGUAAGUAAAUUGUUGUUGGCCGGUUACA